CCAAUAGCGUAUAUUAAAGUUGUUGCAGUUAAAAAGCUCGUAGUUGAAUUUCGGGAUUUGCACAUCGGUCGUGCCUUAAGGGGUAUGAACUGGUGUAGUGAAUUUCUCACCUUCUGGAGAACCGUGAUGUCCUUAAUUGGGUGCCACGAGGAACCAGGACCUUUACUUUGAAAAAAUUAGAGUGUUUAAAGCAGGCAUUU
RNAcentral lists this ribosomal RNA (200 nucleotides) under uncultured Entrophospora. RNAcentral describes it as "uncultured Claroideoglomus partial small subunit ribosomal RNA". It matches the Rfam family "Eukaryotic small subunit ribosomal RNA", at positions 591 to 789 of the family's 1831-position model. Lineage: Eukaryota; Fungi; Glomeromycota; Glomeromycetes; Entrophosporales; Entrophosporaceae. The record is from RNAcentral.